GGGAUAUGAUGAGUGGCAAAAGCUCGCACUGAAAUCUGCGAGAGAGGUGUCCUCCCAGCCUGGUUACGACACUGGGGCACUCAACCUUUAACCAAUCUG
This 99-nucleotide small nucleolar RNA is filed under the name Glycine max (soybean). RNAcentral's name for it is "snoRNA snoZ279_R105_R108". It matches the Rfam family "Small nucleolar RNA Z279/snoR105/snoR108". From Rfam's summary of the family: This family includes the plant snoRNAs known as Z279, snoR105 and snoR108. All three are members of the C/D class of snoRNA which contain the C (UGAUGA) and D (CUGA) box motifs. Lineage: Eukaryota; Viridiplantae; Streptophyta; Magnoliopsida; Fabales; Fabaceae. The record is from RNAcentral.